UAGCAUUUGAAAUGUGAAUGAAUGGAAUGC
Molecule: non-coding RNA, 30 nt
Filed under: Rattus norvegicus (Norway rat)
Lineage: Eukaryota; Metazoa; Chordata; Mammalia; Rodentia; Muridae
Source: RNAcentral